UACGUAGGGUCCGAGCGUUGUCCGGAAUUACUGGGCGUAAAGAGCUCGUAGGUGGUUUGUCGCGUUGUUCGUGAAAACUCACAGCUCAACUGUGGGCGUGCGGGCGAUACGGGCAGACUUGAGUUCGGUAGGGGAGACUGGAAUUCCUGGUGUAGCGGUGAAAUGCGCAGAUAUCAGGAGGAACACCGGUGGCGAAGGCGGGUCUCUGGGCCGAUACUGACGCUGAGGAGCGAAAGCGUGGGGAGCGAACAGG
This 253-nucleotide ribosomal RNA is filed under the name uncultured bacterium. Its description in RNAcentral is "partial 16S ribosomal RNA". It matches the Rfam family "Bacterial small subunit ribosomal RNA", at positions 524 to 776 of the family's 1533-position model. The record is from RNAcentral.